CCCUUUGAUACUCUGGGCGGCACGCGCGCUACAAUGGAUAACUUAACGUGUUACACGUCCGAAAGGAUGUAUGCAAAUCACAAAUGUUAUGUCUCGAGUGGGAUAGUUUACUGCAAUUAUAGACUUGAACUAGGAAUCCCUUGUAGGUACACUGAAGCAUAGUGUACCGAAUACGUCCCUGCCGUUUGUACACACCGCCCGUCGUUUCUUCCGACUGAUACUCAUUGUGAAUUGCGGGGAUAACGUUGUUGAAAACCGUUGUAAAUGCUGGGUAUUGGAGGAAGAAAAAGUCGUAACA
This 298-nucleotide ribosomal RNA is filed under the name uncultured eukaryote. RNAcentral describes it as "partial 18S ribosomal RNA". It matches the Rfam family "Eukaryotic small subunit ribosomal RNA", at positions 1470 to 1796 of the family's 1831-position model. The record is from RNAcentral.